UGCCAGACUCCUACGGGAGGCAGCAGUGAGGAAUAUUGGUCAAUGGCCGGAAGGCUGAACCAGCCAAGCCGCGUGAAGGACGAAGGUGCCAAGCAUUGUAAACUUCUUUUGUCAAGGGACAAAAUCAGGCUCGAGAGCCUGACCGAGGGUACUUGAAGAAAAAGCAUCGGCUAACUCCGUGCCAGCAGCCGCGGUAAUACGGAGGAUGCGAGCGUUAUCCGGAUUUAUUGGGUUUAAAGGGUGCGUAGGCGGGACCUUAAGUCAGCGGUAAAAUUGCGGUGCUCAACGCCGUAGAGCCGUUGAAACUGGGGUUCUUGAGUGAGCGAGAAGUAUGCGGAAUGCGUGGUGUAGCGGUGAAAUGCAUAGAUAUCACGCAGAACCCCGAUUGCGAAGGCAGCAUACCGGCGCUCAACUGACGCUGAGGCACGAAAGUGCGGGUAUCGAACAGGAUUAGAUACCCGGGUACU
RNAcentral lists this ribosomal RNA (467 nucleotides) under uncultured bacterium. RNAcentral describes it as "bacterial SSU rRNA". It matches the Rfam family "Bacterial small subunit ribosomal RNA", at positions 329 to 794 of the family's 1533-position model. The record is from RNAcentral.